AUGCGUUUUGUGCGGCGCAUCCAGGAGUCUGAGGUGAAGGAGGCUUUAAAAAGGAUGAAAGGAGGCAAGGCGAUGGGCCCUGAUUGUAUCCCCAUUGAGGUGUGGAAAGGUCUCGGGGACAUAGCGAUAGUAUGGCUAACCAAGCUUUUCAACCUCAUUUUUCGGGCAAACAAGAUGCCAGAAGAAUGGAGACGGAGUAUAUUAGUACCAAUAUUCAAGAACAAGGGGGAUGUUCAGAGUUGUACUAAUUACCGUGGAAUUAAGCUGAUGAGCCAUACAAUGAAGCUAUGGGAGAGAGUCAUUGAGCACCGCUUAAGAAGAAUGACAAGCGUGACCAAAAAUCAGUUUGGUUUCAUGCCUGGGAGGUCGACCAUGGAAGCCAUUUUCUUGGUACGACAACUUAUGGAGAGAUAUAGGGAGCAUAAGAAGGACUUGCAUAUGGUGUUCAUUGACUAG
RNAcentral lists this ribosomal RNA (456 nucleotides) under Triticum aestivum (bread wheat). RNAcentral's name for it is "partial small subunit ribosomal RNA". The record is from RNAcentral. Lineage: Eukaryota; Viridiplantae; Streptophyta; Magnoliopsida; Poales; Poaceae.